AGUACCCAGAGUAACAAUCUGUGAGCUGUUAGAUUAUGGUUAGGGUCCGUUAGUUAUGCUUCCCUUCAGAAAGCAUAAAACAUUGACUCGUUUGUUAUGCUCUUUUUCUUUUUUUUCGCGCCUUGCAUUUUUUAUGACAGCUGAAAAUAGAAACAGCAUUCUUUUCAUUCAUUUCAUGCUGUCUUCUCGGUGCGCUUUGCGAGUGCUCUCGGUGCUUAUCUUCGACAAAAUGGCGAUGUUGGAAUGCUUUUUUUUUCAAGAUUCGUGGUCGUGGCUACAAAGCGAAAGGGUUCAUGGAGGAUGCGUUGUCGAUAGCAAGAGGCCUCGGCAGUUCUCGGAAGAGCGAGUCAAAGGCAACCGAUUCAGGGCUGCUCGCAGAUUAUCACUUGGCGACAGAAGAUUUUCUUCAAGACAACCGCGCGGCCUGUUCCGACAACUUCUGCAAAUUUUGCGCUUCAAGCUUACGACGAAGAUACAGACACGUCACAAUCGCAGAGCUGGAGAACCACAAGCGCAUAUAGUUAAGUCCUGCUUACAACAGCGUAUAUAGCUAAAACUAUGGCUCCUAAGAUCAGCAGGAUAUGGUGCGCUUGAAGGGGAAGGUGGGGAUUCUCCUAAAAGGAUAUAAUUAGAUGACAGAAUCAACAUAGGAUUAGGGAUCAAUGGUAGCCCCAACUACAACCCAUCCGCACGUUCUUCCUCCGGUGGUCAUGGAUUCUCCACCGCCAGCACCGAUGGACUGCGCUUCAAGGCUUUCCCAUCAAACCACUCGUCAGUUACUUCCACUUCGGAAAGCGUCGUAUCUUGAAAGAAAUUGCUAGGAAACGGUUAAUGGAUCCUUUAAAUUUACCAGAACUUAAACUCGAAAAACAAGAUCAAGUAUAUCGCCUGGUUCGCCGCCACCUGAUCUAUUUCAACAGCUUCCACCCCAAUACAAAAAUUAGAUUUACGUGCUGCUUCCAAAAUGACCCCCUUUCGUGCAAUGGUACCUUCGGGUACGCCUUCUGGUAGCGCUAGCA
This is a long non-coding RNA of Armigeres subalbatus, 1019 nucleotides long. RefSeq lists it as uncharacterized. The transcript has 3 exons. The record is from RefSeq and is a predicted model, not a curated record. NCBI's taxonomy places the organism in Eukaryota, Metazoa, Arthropoda, Insecta, Diptera, Culicidae.